This 478-nucleotide unclassified non-coding RNA is filed under the name Hevea brasiliensis (rubber tree). Lineage: Eukaryota; Viridiplantae; Streptophyta; Magnoliopsida; Malpighiales; Euphorbiaceae. The record is from RNAcentral.
CCUCAUCUUUCACUUCUAACCCAGAAUCUUGUGAUUCCUUAACUGGUUCGGUAACAGCUGUAAUGGCUUCAUCCAGCUUUCCCUCUAUGGACCCAUCUUUGCUGGUUUCAACUAAAGCUGGGGUCUCCUCUUUUAUGUUUUCCUUUUUCUUGUUUUCUACAACUGGUUCGAUAACUUUACCAGUUUUCUCUCCCUCAGAUGAUCUUUCAGUAACUUCGGCAAUUGAAACAGCCGCCCCUUUAUCGUCCACUUUGAUUGGCUGAACUAGUUCUUUAUUUAGCACUUUUCUCUCUAUAUUCUCAUCUUCAGUUUUGCUAGUUUUUUCUUCUGUCUCUUGUCCACCAUUUUCCUGUUCCACCGUUGCCUCUUUCAAUGGUGCUUCAACUACUUCAGUCCUAUCAGUUUCCUUCUUUCCAUUCUCUGCGUCAAUUGUCUCUCUGACAUCUGGAAGAGGAGAUUCUCCUAUGCUUUCUUUACG